CCUACGGGUGGCAGCAGUGGGGAAUAUUGGGCAAUGGGCGCAAGCCUGACCCAGCAACGCCGCGUGAAGGAAGAAGGCUUUCGGGUUGUAAACUUCUUUUCUCAGGGACGAAGCAAGUGACGGUACCUGAGGAAUAAGCCACGGCUAACUACGUGCCAGCAGCCGCGGUAAUACGUAGGGGGCAAGCGUUAUCCGGAUUUACUGGGUGUAAAGGUCGUGUAGGCGGGGACUCAAGUCAGAUGUGAAAACCACGGGCUCAACCUGUGGCCUGCCUUUGAAACUGUGUUUCUUGAGUGCUGGAGAGGCAGACGGAAUUCCGAGUGUAGCGGUGAAAUGCGUAGAUAUUAGGAGGAACAUCAGUGGCGAAGGCGGUCUUCUGGACAGCAACUGACGCUGAGGCGCGAAAGCGUGGGGAGCAAACAGGAUUAGAUACCCUUGUAGUC
RNAcentral lists this ribosomal RNA (443 nucleotides) under uncultured bacterium. Its description in RNAcentral is "partial 16S ribosomal RNA". It matches the Rfam family "Bacterial small subunit ribosomal RNA", at positions 338 to 795 of the family's 1533-position model. The record is from RNAcentral.